Long non-coding RNA from Thalassophryne amazonica, 220 nucleotides. RefSeq lists it as uncharacterized. NCBI's taxonomy places the organism in Eukaryota, Metazoa, Chordata, Actinopteri, Batrachoidiformes, Batrachoididae. The record is from RefSeq and is a predicted model, not a curated record. The transcript is spliced from 3 exons.
UCACGAACACCAUGUUCAAGCACAAGGGUGUCCAUAAGUGCACAUGGCACAAGGACACCCUGAGCUGGAGGUCGAUGAUCGACUUUGCAGUCGUGUCAUCUGACCUUCGUCUACAUGUCUCGGACAUUCGGGUGAAGAGAGGGGCUGAGCUGUCGACCGAUCACCACCUGGUGGUAAGUUGGAUCUGCUGGGAGGGGAGGAAGCCGGUCAGACCUGGCAG